Molecule: ribosomal RNA, 254 nt
Filed under: uncultured bacterium
Lineage: Bacteria
Description: partial 16S ribosomal RNA
Rfam family: Bacterial small subunit ribosomal RNA
Source: RNAcentral
UACGAAGGGGGCUAGCGUUGCUCGGAAUCACUGGGCGUAAAGGGUGCGUAGGCGGGUCUUUUAAGUCAGGGGUGAAAUCCUGGAGCUCAACUCCAGAACUGCCUUUGAUACUGAGGAUCUUGAGUUCGGGAGAGGUGAGUGGAACUGCGAGUGUAGAGGUGAAAUUCGUAGAUAUUCGCAAGAACACCAGUGGCGAAGGCGGCUCUCUGGGACGGUACUGACGCUGAGACGCGAAAGCGUGGGGAGCAAACAGG